UACGUAGGGCGCAAGCGUUGUCCGGAAUUAUUGGGCGUAAAGAGCUCGUAGGCGGUCUGUUACGUCCGCUGUGAAAACCCAGGGCUUAACCCUGGCCUUGCAGUGGAUACGGGCAGACUAGAGGUAGGUAGGGGAGAAUGGAAUUCCCGGUGUAGCGGUGAAAUGCGCAGAUAUCGGGAGGAACACCGGUGGCGAAGGCGGUUCUCUGGGCCUUACCUGACGCUGAGGAGCGAAAGCGUGGGGAGCGAACAGG
Molecule: ribosomal RNA, 253 nt
Filed under: uncultured bacterium
Lineage: Bacteria
Description: partial 16S ribosomal RNA
Rfam family: Bacterial small subunit ribosomal RNA
Source: RNAcentral